UACGGAGGAUGCAAGCGUUAUCCGGAAUUAUUGGGCGUAAAGCGUCCGCAGGUGGCACUUCAAGUCUGUCGUCAAAGACCGGGGCUUAACCCUGGAAAGGCGAUGGAAACUGAAAGGCUAGAGAGAGGUAGGGGUAGAGGGAAUUCCCAGUGUAGCGGUGAAAUGCGUAGAGAUUGGGAAGAACAUCGGUGGCGAAAGCGCUCUGCUGGACUGCAACUGACACUCACGGACGAAAGCUAGGGGAGCGAAUGGG
RNAcentral lists this ribosomal RNA (253 nucleotides) under uncultured bacterium. Its description in RNAcentral is "partial 16S ribosomal RNA". It matches the Rfam family "Bacterial small subunit ribosomal RNA", at positions 524 to 776 of the family's 1533-position model. The record is from RNAcentral.